RNAcentral lists this long non-coding RNA (966 nucleotides) under Junco hyemalis (dark-eyed junco). RNAcentral's name for it is "lncRNA (ENSJHYG00000016152.1)". The record is from RNAcentral. Lineage: Eukaryota; Metazoa; Chordata; Aves; Passeriformes; Passerellidae.
CAGCUCUAUCAGUGUCACAGAGAUGGUGCUGAUUUACACCAGAGUGGGGUCAGAGAGCAGAGUCCCUCAGCACCCAGAGCAACAGGGAUGGUAAAAAAUCAGCCUGAGGCUUUUCUCCUUUGCUGCUUUGCUUUUUCAGAUCUCUGCCAUGGAUGAUUUCUGCCUCUUCUUCCAGCAGGACAUGGAUGUGGCAGCUGCUGAGGCUUUGCAUAAGUGGGAAGGGUAUUUAUUUGAUAUUCUGAACUGAGGAACUUCCAGGAUUUUAUUGCUUGAUGGGCCUGAUCUUUAAGCCAGGCAUAAUUUGAUUUGGAUAUUCAUAACCUGAGUGGAGAAAAACCAGUUUAAAACAAGGAAAAGCAUACACCAUGGAGACUCACAAAAUCCCCUAAGAAUGUGAGAAAUAAAUGUGUGGAUGUAUGUAGCUGCAGCUUCACAGGCUACCAUUGUGGCAUUGUAAAGAUACCUCAUUAUUCCAGGGAGCUUGUGGAAGUGUUUGUGCCUGUUUGUGUGCACAGUGAACAAUGCCAUGGACUAUUCACUGCAGUGAUAAAUUGUGCUUACUCCCAUGUCAGAACAAGUAAGAGAACUGAGGUUCUUCCUAAGAUAACAACUGACGUCUUUUGCAAGAGAACGUAAUUUCCCUAAUGACUGUCUGAAUUCUGGAAAAUAAGGAUUUCUGUAAAGAACUGCUCCCGUGCUCUCCUGCAGCAGAAUUGCCCAGAUUUGCCCUGCCAGGUCUGCUUGAUGUGAAAUGUGGAGCUCUGGAGCAGCAGGUAUGUUCCUGGAAUUCUGCUUACAGCAGUAAAAUCUACAGUUCAGCAGAAGGAAUAAUAGUCACAAUUGUCACUGAAGUGUUUUGACACUUGUUCCUAAAGCUCCUUCAGAACGUACACAGAGUGGAUCAUUUAUUUUAAUGAAAUUCUGUCUAACACAGGCUAUUACUCACUCUCCCUCCUCUGAUUUCUG